UGAAUGCCGCCAAAAGAUAAAAAGAAAACUUGACUAAGAUCAAAAGUUGGCACUUUUAAAUUGUGUUGGACAACUUGUAGAUGGUUAUUGCAUUAAAAGCAAGCAAACUUUGUGGAAAAAAAUAUUGCUGUGUGAACCAAGUAAAAUCGCUCAGAUACAGUUCUAGGUGAGUGUGUGUUUCUUCAAGUGUGAAAUUCAAGCAAUGAGCAGCUUAAGAGACAACAGGAAUAAAAUUGCAAAUCUCCUGCCACAAUAAACAACACCAUAAUUCAGUGUGUGUAUUUUAUCUGUGCGUUCUCGGUGUACACUGCAGACAGUUGCAAAUGUUAUUUAUACGCAAUUCCAACAUACGACUUAGUAACUAAAAGCCAGAAAUUUAUUAUGAUGGAUACUUAAUAAAAACGUGGCAAGGUCAGCUAAAAUAACAAGCACACUCACAGAAAUGAAUGUCAACGCGAUUUAAGUGCGCUCAGCACUUGGUGGGGGUCCAUAAAGGAAUCUGGACCGGAACGUGACUUUUGGCGAAUGUAACUUUAAGCCACAGUGCGAUAAAAAAAAAAACUGCAAUGCCAACCUGAGCGAAUUUCGCUGGUGCAAUC
This is a long non-coding RNA of Drosophila grimshawi, 599 nucleotides long. RefSeq lists it as uncharacterized. The transcript has 3 exons. The record is from RefSeq and is a predicted model, not a curated record. NCBI's taxonomy places the organism in Eukaryota, Metazoa, Arthropoda, Insecta, Diptera, Drosophilidae.